Non-coding RNA from Nicotiana tabacum (common tobacco), 2534 nucleotides. The record is from RefSeq and is a predicted model, not a curated record. NCBI's taxonomy places the organism in Eukaryota, Viridiplantae, Streptophyta, Magnoliopsida, Solanales, Solanaceae.
ACAAAAUUAUUCAUAUCCUCACAUGCAUGUUACAGAAAAAGGAUCGAGGAGAGAACAAUGGCAACUAAUCACAGAAAGAAGCAGGUGAUAGCAAUAAUCGGUCUCUUGGCCUGCAAAUACAGCCUUUCAAAAGGUUUCGAUCCCAUAGUGUUUGAGUUGGAGGGUAGCAUUGGGGGUGUGUGGACUAAGACCAUUGAGAGUACCAAGUUGCAAAGACCUUUUUACCAGUUCUCUGAUUUUCCAUGGCCUGAUUCUGUAACCGAUAUGUUCCCCGACCAACAAGCUGUGCUGGAGUACAUUGAAUCGUAUGCUCGUCACUUCGACUUGCUCCGCCACAUUCAGUUCAAUAGCAAAGUGUUGAGCCUCAGACCUCAGUUAUGAAUCUGGUGGCGGCUCUGACGGAGAUCAAUGGAAUUUGUGGGGCAGCACCGGUGCCGGCGAGCCUUUAAGCAGUAAAGGGAAGUGGAACGUCACUGUACAGGACACUCGAACCCCCUCCCCGCAGGUAUACCAAGUUCAGCCAAGUUCCAAAUAUCCCUCAAUUCCCUCCAAACAAAGGUCCCGAAGUUUUUGAGGGUAAAGUUAUCCAUUCAAUGGAUUAUUCCAAAAUGGACUCCACAAUUGCAACCAACUUCGUCAAAGGAAAACAUGUAGCCGUCAUUGGGUCCCAGAAAUCAGGAAUGGACAUUGCCAUGGAAUGCUCCAUCGUUAAUGGGAAUAUUGAACGUCCAUGCACAGUAAUAACCAGGACACCGCAUUGGAACAUUCCCGAUUAUUUUCCAUGGGGAUUCCCUUUGGCAUAUCUCUACCUAAAUCGAUUCUCCGAACUUAUGGUGCAUAAACCCGGCGAAGGCCUUCUUCUAACAACGAUUAGUCAUACUUUCUCGUUCACAUUGACAAUGCAUCCGAAGACAAAGCCAUACACCAUGAGAUUGACUAAAGGUUUCUUGAUCUGAUCAGAUGAACAUAUUAGGAAACAAGCUAAGUACUGUUCGCUUCUGGCCGUGGACUGUAGCCAUAUUUCUCGCUCAAAACUUAACCAUUAUAUUGUAGAUACAUUGGGCUCUAUAUAUACCCUAAAUAUAUUUCCUGAAUUUCAAUAACAAAGGACAGAGAAUCUGAGUAGCUUUCUAAAUUGGAAAGACCUUCAAUAUGGAAAGGGAGGUUAUUGAACUCCUCUAUCACGUAAAAUUCACUUGUUGCACAAGCAACCAACCUCUGAUCGUCCAAACUCACAAAAAAUAUACUAAAGCGGAUACCUGAUAGGGAGGUAAUUAAUGGCAUGUAAAAAGCAAAGAAAAGAUUCUUUACAUGACACCACUAGGCACCCGAAAGGAUAAAUGAACUAAGAAAGUGGAGUUUAACUGGAUAGUUACAAUAUUAAGGUUACAUGUCCACUAUAUAAGUCAGAAAAAUCAAACUAUAUGACUGAUAUCUAACACAUAUACAUGCAAGUCUGCAAGUUAAGUGAGGAAACAAGAAAAAUAAAUACAAUUGCUGCUGAAACAACUCCGCAACAUGUGUCGACAAAGUUACUAUUCUUCCUUCUCAAGUUAUAGAAUCCAUCUCAAAAUUAUUAGAAGUCAUCUUAAAGUUACUACUCAUAAGUUCAAAGUUACAACAAUAUGAUUUCUACUUUUUCUAUCACAAAACUUAUAACAUGAAGUACUAAAUUGAUUUCACUCAUAUUUUACAGAGGUGGGCCUUCUCAAAAUUUGUAGAAAGCUAUUUACAACACAAACUGGGGCUUGCAAAACAUGGAAUGGUGCCAGAGCAUAGUUUCUUAAACGAAUUGAGUUCAUGUUUAAUUUCUAUAGUGCCUGAGAGCUUUUACGAUAGAGUUCGGGAAGGAAGUAUCAAGCUCAAGAAAGCAAAGAGCUUUGGAUUCUCUAAAGAAGGCAUCAUGCUCGAGGGUCAGGCUGAACCAAUAAAAUCCGACUUAAUCAUACUCGCUACUGGCUUCAAGGGAAUUGAUAAGCUCAAACACAUUUUUGAAUCACCAAAAUUCCAGGGCUUCAUUGCGGGGAAAGAUGAUUCUGCAGUUCCUCUCUAUAGGGAAUGCAUUCAUCCCCGAAUUCCACAACUGGCAAUAAUUGGAUUCUCAGAAAGCGUAGCAAAUCUAUACACCUCAGAAAUAAGAUGCCGAUAGCUGGCAGAACUUCUUGAUGGAAAAUUUAAGCUACCUAAUAUCAAGGUCAUGGAAGAAGACAUAGAAGAAUGGGAUAAAUACAAGAAGAGAUAUUCAUAUUCGAAGAACUACAGGAGAUCAUGCAUCGCUGCGUUGCAUAUUUGGUACAAUGACCAGUUGUGCAGGGACAUGGGCUGGAAUCCUAAGAGGAAAAAGGGUCUUUUGGCUGAGUGGUUCGAUCCUUAUGGACCAAUGGAUUACGCCGGCUAACAUAUAGUAUAAGAGUAUCCUCUCCCAGUUUCAGAGAGGUCUUCUUUCAUCUGUUUCUCGCUUGUUUUCAAAAUCCUACUGUACUUUUCUUUUUUUUCUUUGUGUUGACGGCCGGGUGCCUUACAACUUGUUUGGA